GGAAUGUGCCUGAGCAAUGGAGCCCCUUCCAGCGCUAACAGAUUGUGGGGGAGGGGAUGAGGAUACUGGGGGUGGGGGAAUUACUGAGCUGUCACUUUUUUUCUCUCUCACCUGCCCAACCUUUCACCCACCUUGUCACUAAACCCUUCUUUCUAAACUUCCAUCCUCGCUCUCUGGGUCGCUUUCUUGUAUCCCUUAAUCCCCUCCCGGGUCUCUAACCCUAUCCUUCUGUAUACUUUUGUAUUUUACCCCUCUCUGGGUCCCCGUCUUCCUGACCGUCUCUAUUGCUGGGGCCUUCUUCCUCUUCUCUCUCUGGGUCUCCCCAAGCCCCAUCUUCAUCCCUGUCUUCUUUUUCUGUGUUUUCUCCCUGCCUGUACCCGCCUCCCUGGGUCUUUACCCUACGUCUCCCGUCUCACUUCUCUGUAUCUCCGCCAUAUCUCUGACUUGGGGUCCCUCCUGUGUCCCUCCACCCCAUCCGGUCUCUCCCUGGCCUACAGGUCUCCUGAAGGAAAAGGAGCGCAAGGCAACUCUGCCCUCAGCCCCCGUCCCGGGACCCGUCCUGGAAACGGCGGGCCCAGCGGAUGCCCCAACUGGGGCGGUUAGUGGCGGUGGGUCCCCUCGGGGGCGCUCAGGGCCUGUGGCUGGCCCGAGUCUUUUUGCGCCGCUGCUGUGGGAACGCACUUUGCCUUUCGGGGACGUGGAAUACGUGGACCUGGACGCCUUCUUGCUGGAGCACGGGCUACCGCCGAGCCCGCCGCCCCCCGGGGGCCUGUCGCCGGCACCCUCUCCAGCGCGCACUCCCGCGCCCUCCCCCGGGCCCGGCUCUUGCAGCUCCUCUUCCCCCCGCUCCUCGCCCGGGCACGCCCCCGCGCGGGCCACUCUGGGAGCCGCCGGCGGCCACCGCGCAGGUGCGGCGAAGGGGCGGGGCUGGCGGGCAGGGAGGGGCCUCGCGACACUUUUGGAAGUCUGCCCAAUGAGAUGCUGCGAUCCUUUAGGGGACUUGGGUCCCCAAAUGCGAGAGGAUUAUUCAGUGAGAGGAUAUAUUUUUCUCUAAUACAAAAGUUUCCUCAUUUUCCUGGAGCCAAGACUAGAAACUCAGAACACCUUAGUUAACUGGAAAGUACUAACUCCAGAGUCUGGGUCCAGAAUUUUGGGAAACCAGAUAGGACUGGACUUCAAGGACACCUAAAAUGGGAGCGAGCAGGCCAGAGCGGGGUACUAGGUUCCCGGAUUCUGCCCCCCACCCCCAAGUGGAGGGUGUUGCAUCCUGCCUCCCAGAGUCUUGCAGCAGAGAAUGUCGGGAUCCCGAUUCUGGAUUCUCCAGAGGAGCUCCCCAUAUUCCUGCGUUGGGGACCUAGGAUCUCAGAACUGUGGGAAUCUGGAUGGCCAAGAGCUUGACAGGCCGGUUCUACCACGAUCCGCCCCCCCCCCCCCAAUAGCGCGGGGUGGGUGGGUAGAAUCAUUGUAGCUGUUGGAGCUGAGACCAAAAGGAACAAGAAGGGAGGCGAUCCCUAUCAAGACAAGGAGUCUCGAUGUGGGACGCCUGGGUACACCUGUCCCUGAUCCGACCUCCAGGCAAAACCAGUGCUGCACAUUCCCUCGCCACGUGAGUCCUCCCUCCUUACUGCGCGCACGCGCUCUCACGCGCGAGGAGGCGGGGGCCCGGGAACGUGCGGGUGCUUGGUGGGGAGGAGGGGAAAGGGGAAGCUGUAGGCCACACGUGACGCGGCCCUGAACUGGUGUCCUCGGCUGGCCCUGUCUUUUUUGUUCUUAAAGACACAGGAGUCAACCUUUUUUAGCCAAGCUCCUGGAACCUCCAUCACUCUUAGCAGUGAGUCUAACAAGUCUAAGCUCAGAGCAAGGAUUCAGUAAGUAGGACUCAGACAAGGCAGUGGGAACAAAAAUAACGCUGAAUUUUAAGUUUUGAGGUUUUAGAAGACUCACGGGAUGUUUAAGGCCAGUCAUUUCUGCCUUACUCAUAAGGAUAGAAUUGCCUUCGGUGGUUCUUUGUCACAGGAUUAAUGCUGACAGGAUUUGUGUUAAGACAGCAGAAAAGCCUGCCCUGUGGU
RNAcentral lists this long non-coding RNA (2069 nucleotides) under Rattus norvegicus (Norway rat). RNAcentral's name for it is "long non-coding RNA NONRATT000710". Lineage: Eukaryota; Metazoa; Chordata; Mammalia; Rodentia; Muridae. The record is from RNAcentral.